AAGCACCACGACUCUUGCGGUGUCUGGUGCGCUUCCGUCGGUCCUUGAAAAUCCGAGGGACACCGACUGAUUUUCGCCUCGGCUCGUACCCAUAACCGCAGCCGGUCUCCAAUGUGAAUAGCCUCUGGCCGAUAGAACAAUGUAGGUAAGCCCCGACGAGUAAGAGGGUCGCUGCGGUGAGCGUUGAAGCGUAGGGCGCGAGCCCGCGUGGAGCCGCCGUGGGUGCAGAUCUUGGUG
This is a long non-coding RNA of Anneissia japonica, 237 nucleotides long. RefSeq lists it as uncharacterized. The record is from RefSeq and is a predicted model, not a curated record. Lineage: Eukaryota; Metazoa; Echinodermata; Crinoidea; Comatulida; Comatulidae. The transcript has 2 exons.